AGAGUUUGAUCCUGGCUCAGGACGAACGCUAGCGGCGCGCCUAACACAUGCAAGUCGAACGUGAACGGUUGGUUUCGGCCGGCCUAUUAGCGUGGCGGACGGGUGAGUAUCACGUAGGCAACCUGCCCUCGAGUGGGGGACAAGCCCGGGAAACCGGGUCUAAUACCGCAUGCGAUUCCGAUGACGCAUGUCAUUGGAAUCAAAGCCUUCGGGCGCUCGGGGAUGGGCCUGCGACCUAUUAGCUUGUUGGUGAGGUAACGGCUCACCAAGGCUGCGAUGGGUAGCUGGUCUGAGAGGAUGAUCAGCCACACUGGGACUGAGAUACGGCCCAGACUCCUACGGGAGGCAGCAGUGAGGAAUAUUGCGCAAUGGGCGAAAGCCUGACGCAGCGACGCCGCGUGAGCGACGAAGCCCUUCGGGGUGUAAAGCUCUGUCCAGAGGGAAGAAUGCCCGCUACGGCGGGAGAGACGGUACCUCUGAAGAAAGCUCCGGCUAACUCCGUGCCAGCAGCCGCGGUAAUACGGGGGGAGCAAGCGUUGUCCGGAUUCACUGGGCGUAAAGGGCGUGUAGGCGGAACGGUCAGUCGGUGGUGAAAGGUGCAGGCUCAACCUGCAGAUUGCCCUCGAUACUGCCGUUCUUGAGUGCAGGAGAGGGAAGUGGAAUUCCCGGUGUAGCGGUGGAAUGCGCAGAUAUCGGGAGGAACACCCGUAGCGAAGGCGGCUUCCUGGCCUGACACUGACGCUGAGGCGCGAAAGCGUAGGGAGCAAACAGGAUUAGAUACCCUGGUAGUCUACGCCGUAAACGAUGGGCACUAGGUGUCGGGGGAUUUCGACCCCUCCGGUGCCGCAGUUAACGCAUUAAGUGCCCCGCCUGGGGAGUACGAUCGCAAGGUUGAAACUCAAAGGAAUUGACGGGGGCCCGCACAAGCGGUGGAGCAUGUGGUUUAAUUCGAUGCAACGCGAAGAACCUUACCUGGCCUGGAAGUGCAGCUGCACAUCCGGUGAAAGCCGGACUCCUUCGAGGGUGCUGCAGAGGUGCUGCAUGGCUGUCGUCAGCUCGUGUCGUGAGAUGUUGGGUUAAGUCCCGCAACGAGCGCAACCCUUACCGUUAGUUGCCAUCAGGCCCUUCGGGGUGCUGGGAACUCUAACGGGACUGCCCCGGUUAACGGGGAGGAAGGUGGGGAUGACGUCAAGUCCUCAUGGCCCUUACGGCCAGGGCUACACACGUGCUACAAUGGGCGGUACAGAGGGUUGCGAUGCCGCGAGGUGGAGCUAAUCCCAAAAAACCGCCCCCAGUUCGGAUUGCAGUCUGCAACUCGACUGCAUGAAGUUGGAAUCGCUAGUAAUCGCUGAUCAGCAGGCAGCGGUGAAUACGUUCCCGGGCCUUGUACACACCGCCCGUCACACCAUGGGAGCCGGUAGCACCCGAAGUCGCCGUGCCAACCGCAAGGAGGCAGGCGCCGAAGGUGAGAUCGGUGACUGGGGUGAAGUCGUAACAAGGUAGCCGUACCGGAAGGUGCGGCUG
Molecule: ribosomal RNA, 1524 nt
Filed under: Calditrichaeota bacterium AABM5.125.24
Lineage: Bacteria; Pseudomonadati; Calditrichota
Description: bacterial SSU rRNA
Rfam family: Bacterial small subunit ribosomal RNA
Source: RNAcentral